Molecule: ribosomal RNA, 432 nt
Filed under: uncultured bacterium
Lineage: Bacteria
Description: partial 16S ribosomal RNA
Rfam family: Bacterial small subunit ribosomal RNA
Source: RNAcentral
AAUGAACGCUGGCGGCAGGCCUAACACAUGCAAGUCGAGCGAAGUCUUCGGACUUAGCGGCGGACGGGUGAGUAACGCGUGGGAACAUGCCCUUUGGUGCGGAAUAGCCCCGGGAAACUGGGAGUAAUACCGCAUGUGCCCUUCGGGGGAAAGAUUUAUCGCCAAAGGAUUGGCCCGCGUUGGAUUAGGUAGUUGGUGGGGUAAUGGCCUACCAAGCCGACGAUCCAUAGCUGGUUUGAGAGGAUGAUCAGCCACACUGGGACUGAGACACGGCCCAGACCCCUCCGGAAGGCGGCAGUGGGGAAUCUAAGACAGGGGGCGAAAGCCUGAUCUGGCCAGGCGGGGUGAUCGAUGAGGGCCUUAGGGUGGAAAGGAUCUUUCAGUGGGGAGAAUAUUGACGGUACCACAGAAGAAGCCCCGGCUAACUCCGUG